Non-coding RNA from Chiloscyllium plagiosum (whitespotted bambooshark), 1567 nucleotides. Lineage: Eukaryota; Metazoa; Chordata; Chondrichthyes; Orectolobiformes; Hemiscylliidae. The record is from RefSeq and is a predicted model, not a curated record.
CUGGGACACAGAGGGGGCUCCGAGACCCGGAUUGAUUCGGGGCAAAUGAUUGAUGGACCAAGACAGUGUAAUAUUUCCUCAGUACAAAGCCAAGUGUGACCAGCUGCUUCUAAUAACCAGCAGACAAUUACACGAAGGAGCAAGACAAUGUAACAUUCUCUGGUUACAAAACCAAGUGUGAUCAGUUCCUUCUAACAAACAGCAGGGAAUUGGAAGACUAUUUGCAAUGAGGAGACAUAAAACCAGGCAUCACUUCCCAAUUUGACCAAGCUGCUGAGCUUAUUGCCACCUGAAUAUCAUUGGGUUUUGAAGGAAAAAGCACCGCCCACAGUGGGGAGAGAAACCGUACAUGUGUUGUACACGUGGACAAGUCUUCAGCAGAUCAUUGCCCGUCACGAUAUAAAUACAGCCAAACUGGGGAAAGGCCAUUCGUCUGUUCCAAGGGUGGGAAAGGAUUCACUCGAUCAUCCACCUUGCUGAAACCCCAGCAAGUUCACACAGAGAACAGACCUUUGAAAUGUUCACAAUGUGGGAGGUGUUUUAAAAACUCUGGGGCACUGAUAUCCCAACAACAUCCUCACAGUGACGAGAGACCCUUCAUGUGCUCUCACUGUGCGUGUGGGUUCAAGCCAUCAUCCAACCUCAUUAAACACCAGCGGAUCCACACUAGGGAGAGACCAUUCACCUGCUCACACUACAGGAAAGGAUUUUCUCAUAAAUCCAACCUGUUAAAACACCAGCGAUCUCUCAGAAGGUAGAGACUGGGCCUCUCAAUAUUCUGUAAGUUUCAAUCAGGUUCUCUCUCAUCUUUCUAAACUCCAACCAGAGUCCUCAACCUCUCCUCACAUGACAAGUGCUUUAAUCCCUGGGAUUUUUCUUGUAAACCCACUCUGGACCCCUCCAAGUUCAGCACAUCCUUCCUUAGAUAGGGAGCCCAAAACUGCUCACAAUGUCCCAAAUGUGGUCUGAUCAGAGCCUUACAAAGCCUCAGCAAUACAUCCCUGAUCUUGUAUUCUGACCCUCCCGAAAUGAAUGCUGGCAUUACAUUUGCCUUCCUAACUGCCAACUGAACCUGCCUGUUAACCUGAAGAGAAUCCUGAACUCGGACUCCCAACUCCCUUUGUGCUUCAGAUUUCCCCAUUUUAGGAAACAGUCUCCGCCUCUAUUCUUCUAAACCCAUUGCAUACCCUCCCACACUGUCAUCCAUCUGCCAACCGAACCUUAAUAGGAUCUGUAAAUAUAUGGCUUACUUGUAAAACAGAAGGCUGGCUGCGAGUGUAAAUGUAUUCAGCAUUCGGAAGCCUGUGGUGACGUUGUGUAACGCACGCAGAAGGCGGUCACGUGACGUUCCGUUUCACGCCCAGAAGAGUGCGAGGCGGUCACGUGACAUUCCAUUUCACGCCGAGGAGGUCAUCUGAUGCUCCGUUUCGCGGGCAAAAGAAGGUCACGUGGGGUCGGACAUCCGGGAAUGCGAGGAGGCAGAGAAUGCAGUCAGAUCAACAGCCAAUCAGAAGAUAAUUCUACCUCAGUGAUUGUAUGACAUUUUUUUAUUGUGUAAAAGACUGGG